Molecule: non-coding RNA, 688 nt
Organism: Microcebus murinus (gray mouse lemur)
Lineage: Eukaryota; Metazoa; Chordata; Mammalia; Primates; Cheirogaleidae
Source: RefSeq, a predicted model, not a curated record
UGUAACAGUGCUUAUGAAGGCCAAAGCAAGUCCUAUUGCUGAACCCAAAAUUCAAGGUGGGAAAAGUUACUCUGGCUUUCUAAUGGGAGGAACUACCAAAAUCACAUUAAAAAAUUUUCCUCUGUGAGGUCCCUGGCAGGUUCCAGCCCUUCUCUCACUGAUCUUCACCUGAGCUGUGUCCCUUCUUCCGUCUCCUUUAUCUGAGAUCAAGUGUUUUGCAGAUUCAGAAAAAUGAAGGUGCAAGUCCAGCUGACAAAUCAAGGAAGGAUUAAUUGUUUGAGCAGCAACUUGCUGCUGAGACAUUGAAUGAACCUGUGCAAUUGAAGUCGGGGAGACUUUAACUGUGAGGAGCUUGAGCAGUUUCCACCAUCUAUCCUCAGUGGGUCCUGGAAAACAGACAUUAAACACACACUUCCUACAGCUGAGCCAGCACUUGGAGGCCACAGGGGAUCAAUGAUCAAAGACUCUGCAUCUGGAGGGAAAAUUUGGACAUAGACAUGUCCAGAAGGAAGAUCAUGUGAAGACACAGAAGCAAUAUGGUCACUGACAAGCCAAGGAGAGACGCCUGGAUCAGUUGUAUCAUUCGCAGCCUUCACAAGGAACAACACUCACCAAACCUUGAUCCCAGACUUCUAGCCUUCAGAACUAUGAGGCAAGUUCUUGUUGUUUCAACCACCCAUUUUGUAGU